AACGAACGCUGGCGGCAUGCCUAACACAUGCAAGUCGAACGAGACCUUCGGGUCUAGUGGCGCACGGGUGCGUAACGCGUGGGAACCUGCCCUUAGGUUCGGAAUAACUCCCCGAAAGGGGUGCUAAUACCGGAUAAUGUCUUCGGACCAAAGAUUUAUCGCCUUUGGAUGGGCCCGCGUUGGAUUAGCUAGUUGGUAGGGUAAAAGCCUACCAAGGCGACGAUCCAUAGCUGGUCUGAGAGGAUGAUCAGCCACACUGGGACUGGGACACGGCCCAGACUCCUACGGAAGGCAGCAGUGGGGAAUAUUGGACAAUGGGCGAAAGCCUGAUCCAGCAAUGCCGCGUGAGUGAUGAAGUCCUUAGGGUUGUAAAGCUCUUUUACCCGGGAUGAUAUUGACAGUACCGGGAGAAUAAGCUCCGGCUAACUCCGUG
Molecule: ribosomal RNA, 433 nt
Filed under: uncultured bacterium
Lineage: Bacteria
Description: partial 16S ribosomal RNA
Rfam family: Bacterial small subunit ribosomal RNA
Source: RNAcentral